Molecule: ribosomal RNA, 689 nt
Filed under: bacterium enrichment culture
Lineage: Bacteria
Description: bacterial SSU rRNA
Rfam family: Bacterial small subunit ribosomal RNA
Source: RNAcentral
CGCGACGCUGGCGGCGUGCUUACACACCAAGUCGAGCGAUGAAGCUCCUUCGGGUGUGGAUUAGCGGCGGACGGGUGAGUAACACGUGGGUAACCUGCCUCAUAGAGGGGAAUAGCCUUUCGAAAGGAAGAUUAAUACCGCAUAAGAUUGUAGUGCCGCAUGGCAUAGCAAUUAAAGGAGUAAUCCGCUAUGAGAUGGACCCGCGUCGCAUUAGCUAGUUGGUGAGGUAACGGCUCACCAAGGCGACGAUGCGUAGCCGACCUGAGAGGGUGAUCGGCCACAUUGGGACUGAGACACGGCCCAGACUCCUACGGGAGGCAGCAGUGGGGAAUAUUGCACAAUGGAGGAAACUCUGAUGCAGCAACGCCGCGUGAGUGAUGAAGGUCUUCGGAUUGUAAAGCUCUGUCUUCUGGGACGAUAAUGACGGUACCAGAGGAGGAAGCCACGGCUAACUACGUGCCAGCAGCCGCGGUAAUACGUAGGUGGCAAGCGUUGUCCGGAUUUACUGGGCGUAAAGGAUGUGUAGGCGGAUAUUUAAGUGAGAUGUGAAAUCCCCGGGCUUAACUUGGGGGCUGCAUUUCAACUGGAUGUCUAGAGUGCAGAGAGGAAAGCAGAAUUCCUAGUGUAGCGGUGAAAUGCGUAGAGAUUAGAGAUACCAGUGCGAAGCGCUUUCUGGACUGUACUGACGC